AGCACUUUACCCUAAUUUGCGUUCUUUGUACCUUCCUAUCAAAGGUCAUGUCCCGUAAGCUGUAACUGCCCUAUGUCCUUCUUAAUCACCUCCCUCCAAUAUUUCUUCAAUUUACCCCAAUCCUGUCUAAAAUUAUCCAUAGUCAGCUGCCCACACAUUUAAAUUGGAGCAUCCACAUCCCCUUUGAUCACAUGGCUGAACCAACGUAAUCUCACUUCUCGUAUCUUAUCCUCUACCAAAGCUACUCUCACCUUUUCCCAAAUAAUCUUAUUUCUAACCGUAUCUCUC
RNAcentral lists this long non-coding RNA (288 nucleotides) under Capsicum annuum. RNAcentral describes it as "long non-coding RNA (CANN_LNC022397)". Lineage: Eukaryota; Viridiplantae; Streptophyta; Magnoliopsida; Solanales; Solanaceae. The record is from RNAcentral.